This 253-nucleotide ribosomal RNA is filed under the name uncultured bacterium. RNAcentral describes it as "partial 16S ribosomal RNA". It matches the Rfam family "Bacterial small subunit ribosomal RNA", at positions 524 to 776 of the family's 1533-position model. The record is from RNAcentral.
GACAGAGGGUGCAAACGUUGUUCGGAAUUACUGGGCGUAAAGGGCUCGUAGGCGGCCAACUAAGUCGGAUGUGAAAUCCCCAGGCUCAACUUGGGAACUGCAUCCGAUACUGGAUGGCUUGAAUUCGGGAGAGGGAUGCAGAAUUCCAGGUGUAGCGGUGAAAUGCGUAGAUAUCUGGAGGAAUACCGGUGGCGAAGGCGGCAUCCUGGACCGAGAUUGACGCUGAGGAGCGAAAGCUAGGGGAGCAAACGGG